UCGAGAAUCUUCGGCAAUGGGCGAAAGCCUGACCGAGCGAUGCCGCGUGCGGGAUGAAGGCCUUAGGGUUGUAAAGCUCUUUUGGCGGGGAAGAUAAUGACGGUACCCGCAGAAUAAGCUCCGGCUAACUUCGUGCCAGCAGCCGCGGUAAUACGAAGGGAGCUAGCGUUGUUCGGAAUCACUGGGCGUAAAGCGCACGUAGGCGGAUGUGUCAGUCAGGGGUGAAAUCCCGGAGCUCAACUUCGGAACUGCCCUUGAUACAGCACGUCUUGAGUCCGAUAGAGGUGGGUGGAAUUCCUAGUGUAGAGGUGAAAUUCGUAGAUAUUAGGAAGAACACCGGUGGCGAAGGCGGCCCACUGGAUCGGUACUGACGCUGAGGUGCGAAAGCGUGGGGAGCAAACAGGAUUAGAUACCCCCGUAGUCCCUGAGCGGGCUGGCAAGGCGCAU
RNAcentral lists this ribosomal RNA (447 nucleotides) under uncultured bacterium. RNAcentral's name for it is "bacterial SSU rRNA". It matches the Rfam family "Bacterial small subunit ribosomal RNA", at positions 355 to 825 of the family's 1533-position model. The record is from RNAcentral.